GAGAGCGAUUGGUCCAGCAAUACUGAUACCGAAUGAUUUUCAAACAGAUAUGCGUAUAUGCCUCCUAAACGCAAAAGAACAUGUGAGCCAUCCCACCACUUAGCGAAUCCCCGUGUGCUUCACCUGCCAACAAUGGUGGGCCAUCGUCACCAGAACCAGAACAAGCUGUUGUAAACCAGCGCCGAGUUAGAAGCAUUACGAGGGGUGUCUGCAUAGAAAAACUAAGGAAAGUGGGUAACAUUAAAGUUGAUAUAUUUGAUGAUUACACCGGUGGCUCUGGAGAAUCAGCAGCUUGGCUUGCUUCUUAUGUUGGUACACUUACUCGCACGUAUGCACCGAUGGCUACAUCAUCCUGGGCUAAAGUUUCCCAAGAUGUGAAAGACCACAUCAAAAAUCGUU
Carya illinoinensis is the source of this 399-nucleotide long non-coding RNA. RefSeq lists it as uncharacterized. The record is from RefSeq and is a predicted model, not a curated record. Lineage: Eukaryota; Viridiplantae; Streptophyta; Magnoliopsida; Fagales; Juglandaceae. The transcript has 3 exons.